RNAcentral lists this ribosomal RNA (403 nucleotides) under Fusobacteriota bacterium. Its description in RNAcentral is "Fusobacteria bacterium partial 16S ribosomal RNA". It matches the Rfam family "Bacterial small subunit ribosomal RNA", at positions 355 to 776 of the family's 1533-position model. Lineage: Bacteria; Fusobacteriati; Fusobacteriota. The record is from RNAcentral.
UGGGGAAUAUUGCACAAUGGAGGGAACUCUGAUGCAGCGACGCCGCGUGAACGAAGAAGGCUUUCGAGUCGUAAAGUUCUUUUAUAUGGGAAGAUAAUGACGGUACCAUAAGAAAAAGCCCCGGCUAACUACGUGCCAGCAGCCGCGGUAAUACGUAGGGGGCUAGCGUUGUCCGGAAUCACUGGGCGUAAAGGGUUCGCAGGCGGAAAUGCAAGUCCGGUGUAAAAGGCAGUAGCUUAACUACUGUAAGCAUUUGAAACUGCAUAUCUUGAGAAGAGUAGAGGUAAGUGGAAUUUUUAGUGUAGCGGUGAAAUGCGUAGAUAUUAAAAAGAAUACCGGUGGCGAAGGCGACUUACUGGGCUCAUUCUGACGCUGAGGAACGAAAGCGUGGGUAGCAAACAGG